Long non-coding RNA from Solanum stenotomum, 388 nucleotides. RefSeq lists it as uncharacterized. The transcript is spliced from 3 exons. The record is from RefSeq and is a predicted model, not a curated record. NCBI's taxonomy places the organism in Eukaryota, Viridiplantae, Streptophyta, Magnoliopsida, Solanales, Solanaceae.
GAAGAUAUGAGGCAGCGUUGAACUCUCUAUUUCAGUUAGUAUUGUCAAAAGGUGCCGAAAAUGCUUAUUUGAAUUCCUUGUUUGGAAGGUUGAUGCUAUGUAAGACAUUCUAUCAUUAUGCAAUUUAGUUGGUAUAAGCAUUGAACAUGUUUUUGUUUGUAUGGGUUCUUUUGCUUUGACAUUAAUCUCAUGUAUGCAUUUUUCUAAAAAAAUAAUAUGAUAAAUUGUGACUGAAUAGUUUAGGCAAAGGUGUAUGCCAGCUACUCUAGGAUAAGUAAAUUUUUUUUUGCUAAGGUUUGCCUUCUAACAGUUCUCUCAUUUCACAAAUAUGAAGUGGUAAUAUGUUUGUCUCCUAUUUUAUUUUUUUUAUGUAUUGUUAAUAUGUGAC